UUGAUCCUGGCUCAGGACGAACGCUGGCGGCGUGCCUAAGCUUAUGCAAGUCGAACGCGAAAGGCUCCUUCGGGAGCCGAGUAGAGUGGCAGACGGGUGAGUAACGCGUGGGUAACGUGCCCCAAUCCUGGGAAUAACCCUCGGAAACGAGGGCUAAUACCGAAUGUGGCCCCCGAUCGGAUGAUCGGUGGCUAAAGGUGGCCUCUUCUAUGCUGCCGGGUUGGGAUCGGCCCGCGUCCCGUUAGCUAGUUGGUGAGGUAACGGCCCACCAAGGCAACGAUGGGUAGCCGGCCUGAGAGGGUGUCCGGCCACACUGGCACUGAGACAAGGGCCAGUCCCCUAUGGGAGGCGCAGGCGGGAAUAGUUCCCAAUGGACGAAAGUCUGAGGACGCGACGCCGCGUGAGCGAAGAAGGCCUUCGGGUUGUAAAGCUCUGUCAGGAGGGAAGAAGGCGCUGGGUGUUAAUAGCACCAAGCGUUGACGGUACUUCCAGAGGAAGCCCCGGCUAAAUACGUGCCAGCAGCCGCGGUAAUACGUAUGGGGCAAGCGUUGUCCGGAUUAACUGGGCGUAAAGGGCACGCAGGCGGUUCGUUUAGUCGAAGGUGAAAUCCCUGGGCUCAACUCAGGAACUGCCUUCGAUACUGGCGAACUAGAGUGGCGUAGAGGAAAGCGGAACUCCUGGUGUAACGGUGGAAUGUGUAGAUAUCAGGAGGAACACCGGUGGCGAAGGCGGCUUUCUGGACGCACACUGACGCUCAGGUGCGAAAGCGUGGGUAGCAAACAGGAUUAGAUACCCUGGUAGUCCACGCCGUAAACGAUGGGUACUAGGUGUCGGGGGUAUCGAUCCCCUC
RNAcentral lists this ribosomal RNA (850 nucleotides) under uncultured organism. RNAcentral's name for it is "bacterial SSU rRNA". It matches the Rfam family "Bacterial small subunit ribosomal RNA", at positions 13 to 841 of the family's 1533-position model. The record is from RNAcentral.